This 347-nucleotide unclassified non-coding RNA is filed under the name soil metagenome. RNAcentral's name for it is "partial contains 5.8S ribosomal RNA, internal transcribed spacer 2, and large subunit ribosomal RNA". The stretch from base 1 to 120 matches the Rfam family "5.8S ribosomal RNA", at positions 35 to 154 of the family's 154-position model. The record is from RNAcentral.
GAUGAAGAACGUAGCGAAAUGCGAUAAGUAAUGUGAAUUGCAGAAUUCAGUGAAUCAUCGAAUCUUUGAACGCACAUUGCGCCCUCUGGUAUUCCGGGGGGCAUGCCUGUCCGAGCGUCAUUGCUGCCCUCAAGCACGGCUUGUGUGUUGGGCCCCGCCCCCCGGCUCCCGGGGGGCGGGCCCGAAAGGCAGCGGCGGCACCGCGUCCGGUCCUCGAGCGUAUGGGGCUUCGUCACCCGCUCCGUAGGCCCGGCCGGCGCCCGCCGGCGACCCCCUCAAUCUUUUCAGGUUGACCUCGGAUCAGGUAGGGAUACCCGCUGAACUUAAGCAUAUCAAUAAGCGGAGGA